UACGUAGGGGGCAAGCGUUGUCCGGAAUCAUUGGGCGUAAAGAGCGUGUAGGCGGCUCGGUAAGUCCGCUGUGAAAGUCCAGGGCUCAACCCUGGAAUGCCGGUGGAAACUGUCGAGCUAGAGUCCGGAAGAGGCGAGUGGAAUUCCUGGUGUAGCGGUGAAAUGCGCAGAUAUCAGGGGGAACACCAAUGGCGAAGGCAGCUCGCUGGGACGGUACUGACGCUGAGACGCGAAAGCGUGGGGAGCAAACAGG
This 253-nucleotide ribosomal RNA is filed under the name uncultured bacterium. RNAcentral describes it as "partial 16S ribosomal RNA". It matches the Rfam family "Bacterial small subunit ribosomal RNA", at positions 524 to 776 of the family's 1533-position model. The record is from RNAcentral.